RNAcentral lists this unclassified non-coding RNA (310 nucleotides) under plant metagenome. RNAcentral describes it as "partial contains 5.8S ribosomal RNA, internal transcribed spacer 2, and large subunit ribosomal RNA". The stretch from base 1 to 105 matches the Rfam family "5.8S ribosomal RNA", at positions 50 to 154 of the family's 154-position model. The record is from RNAcentral.
GAAAUGCGAUAAGUAGUGUGAAUUGCAGAAUUCAGUGAAUCAUCGAAUCUUUGAACGCACAUUGCGCCCCUUGGUAUUCCAUGGGGCAUGCCUGUUCGAGCGUCAUUCGUACCCUCAAGCUCUGCUUGGUGUUGGGUGUUUGUCCCCGUCUCCGCGCGUGGACUCGCCCCAAAGUGAUUGGCAGCCGGCGUACUGGUCCCGGAGCGCAGCACAUGUCGCGCAAACGAGUGCCUUGGUACGGCGGCGUCCAUAAGCCCCUCUCUCACGCUCUUGACCUCGGAUCAGGUAGGGAUACCCGCUGAACUUAAGC